Molecule: ribosomal RNA, 428 nt
Filed under: Brucella melitensis
Lineage: Bacteria; Pseudomonadati; Pseudomonadota; Alphaproteobacteria; Hyphomicrobiales; Brucellaceae
Also listed under: 3 other names
Description: partial 16S ribosomal RNA
Rfam family: Bacterial small subunit ribosomal RNA
Source: RNAcentral
UGGGGAAUAUUGCACAAUGGGCGCAAGCCUGAUGCAGCCAUGCCGCGUGUAUGAAGAAGGCCUUCGGGUUGUAAAGUACUUUCAGCGGGGAGGAAGGGAGUAAAGUUAAUACCUUUGCUCAUUGACGUUACCCGCAGAAGAAGCACCGGCUAACUCCGUGCCAGCAGCCGCGGUAAUACGGAGGGUGCAAGCGUUAAUCGGAAUUACUGGGCGUAAAGCGCACGCAGGCGGUUUGUUAAGUCAGAUGUGAAAUCCCCGGGCUCAACCUGGGAACUGCAUCUGAUACUGGCAAGCUUGAGUCUCGUAGAGGGGGGUAGAAUUCCAGGUGUAGCGGUGAAAUGCGUAGAGAUCUGGAGGAAUACCGGUGGCGAAGGCGGCCCCCUGGACGAAGACUGACGCUCAGGUGCGAAAGCGUGGGGAGCAAACAG